This 405-nucleotide ribosomal RNA is filed under the name uncultured bacterium. RNAcentral describes it as "bacterial SSU rRNA". It matches the Rfam family "Bacterial small subunit ribosomal RNA", at positions 355 to 776 of the family's 1533-position model. The record is from RNAcentral.
UGAGGGAUAUUGCACAAUGGGGGAAACCCUGAUGCAGCGACGCCGCGUGGGUGAUGAAGGCUUUCGGGUCGUAAAACCCUUUUCUAGGUGACGAGGAAGGACGGUAGCCUAGGAAUAAGUCUCGGCUAACUACGUGCCAGCAGCCGCGGUAAAACGUAGGAGGCAAGCGUUAUCCGGAGUUACUGGGCGUAAAGCGCGCGCAGGUGGUUGAGUAAGUGGGGCGUGAAAUAUCUCGGCUAAACCGGGAGGGGACGAACCAGACUAUUCGACUGGAGUACAGUAGAGGAACGCGGAAUUCGGGGUGUAGCGGUGAAAUGUGCAGAGAUCCCGAGGAACACCAGAGGUGAAGACGGCGUUCUGGGCUGUAACUGACACUGAGGCGCGAAAGCGUGGGGAGCGAACGGG